UUUAAUUGACGGGGAGAGACGCAAAAAAAGCACUUUGUCUAGAAAGGUAACUGCGGGGGUGUUGAUCUAUCACGGUUCCGUGCUAGCACCUGUUGCAGGCAACGUCAGAGCUUGGGUUCUGGAUGACUAAAGUGGCGUGGCAUUUAACAGUAACAUUCAAAGCAAGAUUUCACAUCCUGGCAAAGGCGCUACCUUUAUUAAUGAGCUAUUUACUGGUAGCUAGUGCGGGUGCCGAGUUAACAUAACUUGUUGGCGCUGUUCCCUGGGCUCACCAAAAUACAAAUUUAGCAGUCAGUGCAGUAGUUGACAAUUAAGGGUUGUCUUGCAACUUUGCGUACCCGGUACUGAUUCUAACCUCCUGCGUUACAUUCUAAGAUAAUGCUCCAAACACCUAUUAGAAUGUUCCACUUUAUAGCGCAUAGUAAUGUCGGUUUGCCUCUAUAAUUAACGAUCUGUUAAUGAAUUUGCGUUCUCCGUAAUUGUAACCCACAUUUUUCGAUCGGAGUUAAAUUCCAGAUGGGACCACGAGUCUGAAAUCAUUGUCAAUUUACUUUCCCGAGGUCCUGUGUCAAAUCCGCGACUUUGAGGAAUGCCGCCGACGGGAAUCUCCACGAACGUGCGGUGGAGAGCAUUCGAACUGGCUGCGUCGCCGUCUGGUGUCAGGGGCCACUGCACAGGAUCGAAAAAAUAAAGCCGCAGAAAGUUGCAAACUCAGGCAGCUCCAUCGUCAGUACUAGCUUGCCCAGCGUCGAGGACAUCUUCAAAAGGAGACGCCUCAGAAAAGCGGCCCCCAAUAGCAAGGACCCCCACAAAGGACAAGCUUUCUCAUUGCUAUCAUCAGAGUUAAAAAAUUGGAAGGUGUAUCUUUACCGCGCUACCUCGUUAACGGAAAAGCUAUUCGCUGUGAGGAUUCGUGGAAGCUUUGAAAAGUUCAACUUAAGAAAAUACAAUUUCGUUAGCUAGUGUUCGGUUAUGAAAGAAAACAGCCUUUUUUUUCUUGGAGAAAACCCUUACACAUGGGAAAUUUCAAAUGGUGGCAUUUAUAAUGGAAUGACGAGGUGUGUGUAAGGCAAGAUUUUCCUGUGGGUGGAUGGUGUAAGUUCAUUUCAAUUUUCUGAAAUUCAUUCCGUGUGGUUUUCUAUCGCUCGCAGGAGUUCCCAGCCUCGGGUCCACGGUUCCCUUGCUUAAUGGUAUUAGUCCAUGUCAUAAAAAAGAUAGGGACCCCCCUCCCACCUCUACUAUUGACGAAGAACCAGCUUGCUGAUUCUCUUUUCGAACUUUAUUCCAGGAAUGAAAUUUUACUUGCCCGAUUUGAUAAGACGCAGUUUUGCCAAGUUAGCAGAAAGCCCACCGAACUGUCUAAUGCAUCAUAGGGGAACAGUCUGCCCAUUCCCCUGCUAGGUCGCCUCCUCCUUCAGUCCCACCCCGAAACCUGGGUGAUGCGCGGAGGCAGGAAAUUCGCGUCUAACCCAUGUGACAGACACCAAAAUAAACACCAGACGCGAAUCCCUCGCACGUUUCGAUGGAAAUUGCAUCAACCCCUUGUCGAUGAACUGACUCAAGGCGGCCCCCUUUAGCUGGCCCGGUAAAAUGCAGGUUUCAGCAAUAUGCAAAUCGAUGUUUGUCAGGGAUAAAGAUAUGGUCUUCGAUGCGGGAAUUAGAACUGUCAAGCAUGUGGGGGACUUAAAAAAAAAACAACCAAACAAAAUCCCAAUCGAAUCUGUUUCUACUCGAGUCCAGAGUUCAUUCGAAGAAUGACUCGCAGCAAUAUCCCAAUAAGACCGGGGAGAACUGACUGCCCGAUAUAGUCAUCAGUCAACAUCGCAAAACGGUUCUGAGUUGUUCGGAGAGCUACGAUAAACCUCGUCUACAAUUAAACUCAAUCACUCAAUCGCGAACUGGAUCCGAAUGCGGGGAGGGAAAACUCUCACAGUUAGUAAACAUUUGUCCAUUUAAAGAAAAUUGCAAUUGAAUAUAUUUUAUUGCAAUCAAUAUAGGCUGUAAAUUUAACUGCAUUUUAAUACAACGUGAAGCAGAUGUGUUGGGGAUUUAUAUGUGUGACAGAAAUUUACUAAACCAUAGCACGGGGACUUAAGUUUAAUUAUGUCAAGCAGAAAAUAAAAUAGCCGGGUCUCCGGCGGUAAAAUGCGCAA
Molecule: long non-coding RNA, 2153 nt
Organism: Hypanus sabinus (Atlantic stingray)
Lineage: Eukaryota; Metazoa; Chordata; Chondrichthyes; Myliobatiformes; Dasyatidae
Exons: 2
Source: RefSeq, a predicted model, not a curated record